This 206-nucleotide long non-coding RNA is filed under the name Capsicum annuum. RNAcentral describes it as "long non-coding RNA (CANN_LNC012462)". Lineage: Eukaryota; Viridiplantae; Streptophyta; Magnoliopsida; Solanales; Solanaceae. The record is from RNAcentral.
CCAUGUAAUAAUAGCCUCUCUACGCAUAGUUUGGUAGAGUAGUAAUUAAAAUAACUUUGCAAUUACAAAUGGUUUGCUAUUUAAGAAGUCAGUAGUAAAUUUUUUAAAUAAAAAAUUAUGCUUAGCUAAAUAAUACUAUAAUAGUAUAAUAAUCUCUAUCUAUAAAACAUAAUUAUAACAUCCGGGAUGCUUAAUCUAAUAUCUCC